GAGCGAGCGAGAGAGAGAGAGAGAAAGAGAGGAGCAGGAUGUACAAGCUGCUGUGGUUCUGGGCGAGCGUGGCUCUUCUGAUGUCCUGCUGUGGGUUUCAACUGGACUACACCACACAGGACCCAGGAGAAUACUACUACUAUUCAAACUUCACAGACUACUACUUCUUUGACAAUGAUACGGACACAUACUGGGGAAGUGGCUCAGUCGACCAGAAGGUUGUCGGUAUGGGUCAGGUGACCCUGGUUCUGCUGCUUGGAUUGGCUGUCCCACAUGUCCUUCAUUGAGUGGGCGGGCUUUAAGCCUCCAGAUCUUCGACCCAGACAGAGGGGGACGAGUUUGAAGCGUCCAAUCAGAAGGAGAGACCAUGGUACCUGUCUGAGCGCCGUCGACUCCAGCACCGCCCAGCACGAUUACUAUUCCCCACAGUUGGACAUCGUUUCCAUCAUGGCUGAGAAACAUGCAUUCAAAUGAUAUUUUGCAGUAUAUUUUUAUAAAUAAAGGUUUGUUCAAAUCCCUGGUUCAACCCCAAGUUCCCCGGUGAUCAGAGAUGCACAUCGGUGAACAGUCGUUGUCGUACAUUGCAUGACGGGUAUGAGGAUGUGGAGCACUAUUCAGGGACCCUGAUUGGUCGACUGUUUAGGACGCGUCACUGUCAUAUCUCACAGGGUACAGCGGACCUGUUUGAACCCAUCUGGAUCUCAUCUCUGAAUGCGCCACACUUAGCAGCAUCACUACAUUUAGCCUACCUCCAUGGUAUGGACAUACUCCAACCUUGGUGUGGG
Molecule: long non-coding RNA, 785 nt
Organism: Gadus chalcogrammus (walleye pollock)
Lineage: Eukaryota; Metazoa; Chordata; Actinopteri; Gadiformes; Gadidae
Exons: 5
Source: RefSeq, a predicted model, not a curated record